UGAUUUCACGAGAUUGUUGCAACGCGUCCAUUGUUGGAGUUCUGCGAUGGAUGUAAUUGGUGGUUUUUGAAUGGUGCCAUUGAUAAAGCCUUCUUUAUUUUUGAUGCUGAGGGCCAUGAGCAUGGCACGACUCCAAGUGCCGUAAUUUUUUUCAUUCAAUAGUUGAGUGACAAGCACAACUCCAGGUUGAUCGGAGUGGUGAAGAUAAAAAGGAUCAUUUGGAUUGCCGUAGUUAUCGGCCUCAGGCUUGGUUUGCUUUCCUGCC
Molecule: long non-coding RNA, 265 nt
Filed under: Panax ginseng (ginseng)
Lineage: Eukaryota; Viridiplantae; Streptophyta; Magnoliopsida; Apiales; Araliaceae
Description: long non-coding RNA (PGIN_LNC012169)
Source: RNAcentral